Molecule: non-coding RNA, 73 nt
Organism: Toxotes jaculatrix (banded archerfish)
Lineage: Eukaryota; Metazoa; Chordata; Actinopteri; Toxotidae
Source: the annotation of a RefSeq genome assembly
GCCUGGUUAGCUCAGUUGGUAGAGCAUGAGACUCCAUCUCUCAGGGUCGUGGGUUUGACUCUCACAGCGGGUG